Long non-coding RNA from Ananas comosus (pineapple), 337 nucleotides. RefSeq lists it as uncharacterized. The record is from RefSeq and is a predicted model, not a curated record. Lineage: Eukaryota; Viridiplantae; Streptophyta; Magnoliopsida; Poales; Bromeliaceae. The transcript has 4 exons.
GAUUUUCUCUCUCUACGAAGAAAUCGGCAAUUUCGCUUAUUUUUGUCGCCUCGUUCGUUCUUCGCUGUUCGUGGGUGUCGCUGAGCCUUCGUGGACGUAUAAAAGAGUGUUUUGGAGAGUUUUUCGCAGCUCUGAACCAGUGAGGUGCUGGUUGGAAGCUUAAGCAGGUUUCUGAACCACGUGAAGCUUAUUUGGUGACCUGGGAGGCUGGUUUAGAAGGUGUUCUAUCCUAAGCGGGAUUGUGAUCGAGCCCUGAAUUGUCUUCGACUGACUUGUGAGGGCUCUUGGAGGUUACAGUUGAGGAGUGGAGCCUUGUUGAGCUGAUUUCUGGGACUUC